GUCGUCGUCGGUGCUGCUGCCCACCCGCCGGGCGUUGUGACGCUUGCGGCGCUUGCGGCCCGUCACCGCCGACAUGAUGGACAGAGUCAGGAAGUCCUUGGCGGUGAGGUCUCUCUUGGAACCCCAGGACCCCUGAGGCAGAGCUACGAGGGUGCUCUAGCCGUUGGCCGCGGCCGGCGUUGGCCGGCGUUGGCCGGCGGUGCUCACCUGAAGCGUCGCCGAACAAAGCCGUCCGCCCAAUAUUGGAAAGCAGGUGGUCGAUGUUAGGGGCGGGCUGCACGUCUUCAGUGUCCACUGGCGUCUGGAUACAAAUUCUUGCCAUUAGGCCUCUUUGAUUGCUAACCCAUACAUUGAGACUUGAUGGUUCCAAACCUUUUCCUCCUUGUCCGUCUCCUCGCUGAAAAACCAGAGGUACUGGCAAAAAAAAAUCACGUCAUGAUAUUGAAUGUGUAAAGUGACAA
Molecule: long non-coding RNA, 461 nt
Organism: Syngnathus typhle (broad-nosed pipefish)
Lineage: Eukaryota; Metazoa; Chordata; Actinopteri; Syngnathiformes; Syngnathidae
Exons: 2
Source: RefSeq, a predicted model, not a curated record